GAUGAAGAACGCAGCGAAAUGCGAUAAGUAGUGUGAAUUGCAGAAUUCAGUGAAUCAUCGAAUCUUUGAACGCACAUUGCGCCCCUUGGUAUUCCAUGGGGCAUGCCUGUUCGAGCGUCAUCUGCACUCUCAAGCACUGCUUGGUGAUGGGCGUCUGUCCCGCCUCUGCGCGCGGACUCGCCCCAAAGGUAUUGGCAGCGGUCCUGUCCGCCUCUCGCGCAGCACAGAUGCGCUUCUCGAGGCUUCGGGGCCCGCGUCCAUGAAGCUCUUUUACCACGUUUGACCUCGGAUCAGGUAGGGAUACCCGCUGAACUUAAGCAUAUCAAUAAGCGGAGGA
Molecule: unclassified non-coding RNA, 337 nt
Filed under: soil metagenome
Description: partial contains 5.8S ribosomal RNA, internal transcribed spacer 2, and large subunit ribosomal RNA
Rfam family: 5.8S ribosomal RNA (bases 1-120)
Source: RNAcentral